Molecule: long non-coding RNA, 3127 nt
Filed under: Arabidopsis lyrata
Lineage: Eukaryota; Viridiplantae; Streptophyta; Magnoliopsida; Brassicales; Brassicaceae
Description: long non-coding RNA (ALYR_LNC002549)
Source: RNAcentral
CGAUUCAUUUUUCUCGCGUCUCUCUCUCUCACCUUGUUCUCUUCGUCGGCGAUUUUCUGAGAGAUCGGCGUUGAGCUUCAGAAACCGGCGUAUACAUCAUCAAAUUAGGAGCUAAAGGCGAACCAAAGUUGAUUGCUCUCGGGAGAGAACGGUGUUGAGCUUCAGAAACCGACCUAAUCAGUGCUCGAGUCUAAUAAAAUCGGAGAGUUAGUCGAUUCCAUGCUCCAAUCGCUUUAUCACGGUACGAAUCUCUCUGUUUAGUUGUUACGGUGACUUUUGAUUAGGGUUAUUAGCUGUAAUCAAAAUUAGGGUUUGUCAAUUGAGAUUUGAUUUUCUAGAAAUUAGGGUUUUUGAUUUGUAAACGCAAUUUUGGGUAUAAUCAGUCUAUUAAUCUGUUAUUAGUCAUCUUCUAAGACGAUUGGUGCUAUAGAUGUAAUCUUAUGGAGUUUGGAAAUGGGAGCUUCGAGUAUACUUGUGUACGCUUAUGGAGUUACAAUAGAUGUAAUCAAUGUUAGGCAAUAUAAAGAGUGAAUUUUUUUUUGGGGUUUAUAUAUGUUUUAUGCUCUGCAAAGUUCUUGUCUUUGCUACAUGGGUUUGUUUGUGAUUUGAUUUUGCAUACAUUUACUUGUUCAUUAAGUAACUAAAUCUGCAGAAUUGAUUCAAUCUCUGUUGUUGUUUGUUACUGUUGUCUAACUGGAUUUUUCUUUCUUAGUUCUUUGUGAUAGGUCAUGAUUGUGCACAUAAUGAAGUGGAUGAUGUAAAGACUGACCUAAUGUAAAGAUAAAGAAAGCACUCUGUCCUCCAAAAAUUGUGCAAGUGAGUUCUUCCUCUUUUUCUAUUACUUCCUGAGAUGCUGUGUGAUUAAUGCAUUUAGAUACAUCAUUUUUUUUAUUUUCUGCUGUGUGAUUAAUGCAUCUUUGAUACAAAACGAUUAUGACUUGUUUAUUUUCUGCUGUGUGAUUAAUGUGGUUAGAGCUAAUUUUGAGUUCUUGAAGAAACUUGGAGUUGAUUGGUGGUGUUUUCAUGAUUAAUGUAGUUCCGUCUUUAAUUGAAUGCAUUGUGAUAAAUGAUUAUGACUUGUUUAGAUUAGGUUAAAGUCUGAGUUCAGUUUAAUAGGUAAAGAGUUCAGUUUUUAAUUGAAAGCAUUGUGAUAAAUGAUUAUGACUUGUUUAGAUUAGGUUAAAGUCUGAGAAGUCUAAAUCAUACUUAUUAGUAUGUCAUUGAUUGCUUCUCUUUGAUUGCAUAUAUUUGAUUGAUUGCUCUGUGAUUUGAUUAGGCUAGAUAAAAGUUAAUAAUGUUAUUGAUUGCUCUUUGUGAUCAAUGCUUUAACCUAACAUCCAACCAUAACUUCAGUCGUUUUAAACACUGAAGCUCUUUUUUACACUAACUACUGAAGCUAUUUAUUUCCCUCACUUGUCUUCUAAAAACAGUGAACCUUAAACACAAACCAGAAAAAACUUAAUCUCUUUCCCUCACUUGUCUUGUUAAAAACACAAACCAGAACCUUCAUUGCUUGAUAUGGAUUCAAGGAAUACAUAUACCAAUCCUUCAAGCUUUGUAAACCUCUUAAGCAGUCAAGAAGAUAAUCCCAUGUUUCCACCAAAUCAGUAUGAUGGCUUUAGCUUUAGUGCACCUUGGAUUGAUCCCAGCCAAGCUGAAGUGCCUGUUGCAGACCGCAAAACAAGACGCAAAUGGUCACCAACAGAUGAUGUGAUUCUCAUUAGUGCCUGGCUCAACACCUCCAAGGAUCAUGUUGUCUCCAAUGAGCAAAAAGCCACAACUUUCUGGCAACGCAUAGCCGAGUACGUUGCAGCAAGUCCCAAGCUGAAAGGUCUGCAAAAGAGAGCUCCAUUAUGCUGUAAACAGAGGUGGGCAAAGAUAAAUGAGGGGGUCUGCAAGUUUGUAGGAAGCUAUGAGGCUGCAACCAAACAGAAAACCAGUGGCCAAAAUGAGAAUGAUGUGGUGACCUUGGCUCACCAGAUUUUCUACAAUGAUCACAAGGCCAAGUUCACCCUUGAGCAUGCUUGGAGGGAGCUUCGCCAUGAUCAGAAGUGGUGCGGAUCGUCAACAAGUAAAGACAGUGGGUCAGCAAAGAGAAAAAGGGCUGAGGUCGGCUCUGCACAGGCCUCAUCCUCUAUGCCAGUCAACACUGAAGAGGAGGAGCCUCGUCCCAUUGGUGUUAAGGCAGCCAAAGCCAAAGCCAAAGGAAAGACAACCACUGUGAUUGGAGAAGAAGACAAGAGUCUGAAGGAGCUACAUUGUAUCUGGGAGAUUAAGGAGAAAGAUUUAGUUUUCAAAGAGAAGCUAAUCAAAGAGAAGGAGAAGCUUAGUAGGACUAAACUGCUUGACACUUUGAUGCUAAAAACAGAGCCUCUAACUGACAUAGAGAUGACUCUUAAGAACAAGCUCAUAAUGGAUAUGUUGUCCUAAGCUUAAGUUUGUUUUUAUUUUCUGAUUAAGCUAAGUAUGUUUUAUUUUCUGUUUUAAGUUUAACUAUGUCUUUAGUUUCUGUUUGAAGUAUGUCUGAAUGUGUUUUGCUAUUAAUGAAAUGAUUUCUGUUUAAGCUAAGUAUGCUUGUCUUCAACUGAAACAAAACUAACAUGAAUGUUAACUUAAACUGAAUGUUAACUUAAACUGAAUGAUAACUAACUUGAAUGUUAACUUGCAGGACGUGGAAGAACAAGCUCAUAACUGUUUUAAGAUUAAUGAAUGAAGUUUGUGGUUCUGUUUUAAGUGUAAGUAUGUUCUAUUAAUGUUUUCUUAAAGUUUCUGAAUGUUUUGUGCUUCUGUUUUAUGUUUCUGGUUUGUGUAUGAUGCAGGUGAGCCGACAUCACUUGUGUAAGAGACACAUGUGACACCAAUGCUUUUGUGCUUUAGUGCCGACUUCACUUGUGUCUUUUGUAUUUGUGUGUCGACAUCUCUUAAUACAGUCGUGCUCUCUUUUGUGUUUUUAUGUCGACAUCUCUUAAUACACUCGUGACUCUCUUUUGUAAUUUGGUUUGAAUGUAUUUUUUUUUUUAUUCUUCAAGUUAUGUUCUUUAGUUUCUCUAUAUAUACAAAACGAACACUUCUCUUCGUCUUCUCCAAAACAAUAUUCUCCUUAUUCUUCUCCAAAACAAUCUUCUCC